RNAcentral lists this ribosomal RNA (253 nucleotides) under uncultured prokaryote. RNAcentral describes it as "partial 16S ribosomal RNA". It matches the Rfam family "Bacterial small subunit ribosomal RNA", at positions 525 to 777 of the family's 1533-position model. The record is from RNAcentral.
ACGUAGGGUGCGAGCGUUAAUCGGAAUUACUGGGCGUAAAGGGCGCGUAGGCGGCUUAUCAAGUCGGGCGUGAAAUCUCCGGGCUUAACCUGGAAAAGUCGUUCGAUACUGUUGAGCUAGAGUGUGGAAGAGGCAACUAGAAUUCCGUGUGUAGCGGUGAAAUGCGUAGAUAUACGGAGGAAUACCUGAGGCGAAGGCGGGUUGCUGGGCCAACACUGACGCUGAGGCGCGAAAGCCAGGGGAGCAAACGGGA